RNAcentral lists this ribosomal RNA (626 nucleotides) under uncultured Arthrobacter sp. RNAcentral's name for it is "bacterial SSU rRNA". It matches the Rfam family "Bacterial small subunit ribosomal RNA", at positions 338 to 974 of the family's 1533-position model. The record is from RNAcentral. Lineage: Bacteria; Bacillati; Actinomycetota; Actinomycetes; Micrococcales; Micrococcaceae.
CCUACGGGAGGCAGCAGUGGGGAAUAUUGCACAAUGGGCGCAAGCCUGAUGCAGCGACGCCGCGUGAGGGAUGACGGCCUUCGGGUUGUAAACCUCUUUCAGUAGGGAAGAAGCGAAAGUGACGGUACCUGCAGAAGAAGCGCCGGCUAACUACGUGCCAGCAGCCGCGGUAAUACGUAGGGCGCAAGCGUUAUCCGGAAUUAUUGGGCGUAAAGAGCUCGUAGGCGGUUUGUCACGUCUGCCGUGAAAGUCCGGGGCUCAACUCCGGAUCUGCGGUGGGUACGGGCAGACUAGAGUGAUGUAGGGGGGACUGGAAUUCCUGGUGUAGCGGUGAAAUGCGCAGAUAUCAGGAGGAACACCGAUGGCGAAGGCGGGUCUCUGGGCAUUAACUGACGCUGAGGAGCGAAAGCAUGGGGAGCGAACAGGAUUAGAUACCCUGAUAGUCCAUGCCGUAAACGUUGGGCACUAGGUGUGGGGGACAUUCCACGUUUUCCGCGCCGUAGCUAACGCAUUAAGUGCCCCGCCUGGGGAGUACGGCCGCAAGGCUAAAACUCAAAGGAAUUGACGGGGGCCCGCACAAGCGGCGGAGCAUGCGGAUUAAUGCGAUGCAACGCGAAGAACCUUAC